AUGGCGGCCACGGGCGGCGGGAGCGGAGGCGGUGGCGGUGGCCGACACUGGAUCGAGGCGGAGAUGCCCGAUUUCCGGGCCAGGAUGCGCCGUAUCUACCUCCCUACCAAAUUGGCCUCUUAUUUUCAGCCCAAGUAUUCCCCCAAUUCCCUGGAGGCCCAAACACUUAUUGCAAGAUUGGAGGAGGAUGCAUUCAGGGGGACAAACAGUAAGGUAGAGUACGUGAAAAAAAUAUCUGACAAGGUGGUCACCGUGUUGAGAAAUAAAACUGACGAGCUACAACGUCGAGCGCAGUUACAAAGCCAAUUGCAACAGGCUUUACAUGGAGGCAGUUCUUCUGUAAUGCCAGAGGCAGUGAUGGUGGCUAGUCGAAGGCCAACUUCUCAGUCUAUGACACCUCAAACUUCAGGUCAAGUGCCAAACCAGCACAUGCUUCACCCUUGCACGUCAAACAUGCAGAUUGAGGUUGAGAAAAAGCAUCAUGCUCAGGGUCAUUAUCCAAACUUUCAGCCCAUGGGAAUCACUAGAGCAGGGCCGGGUGUCCAGUCCGGUCCAUGGCCGAUGCAGUCAGGAGCCAGUCAGAGUGAGAACCCAUACAUUGCCAAGCAACCGCAGGCUACAAAUUUUGUUGGCUACAGCCUAGCAAGUGGGUCAAAGCCAGUUAUUCGGCCAAAUUCUCAGCACAAUCACCUACUUGGCCAAAAUGAUAGUGCUAUUGGAGUGCGACAGCCGCAGAUUACAAGGUUGAAUGAAAUUUUGAGAGCUAACCAACAAUUGAUGGGCACGCAAAGGUACCAAAUGCUUGGAGCACAACAAGCUGAUGUCCCCAAGAUGCAGCCUGGUCAGAUUAGAAUACGGAAUAAUCAGGAGGAUGCUAGGCAAACAGGUCUCUUACAUCCACCAUUCAAGGCAUCUGAGCCCAUGACUCCACCUGUACAACAGAUUCCAGGUGCUCAGCAAAGUACUUUGUUUUGUCAGAACUCUCAGAUUCCAGUUACGAUGUCUGAUAUUUCAGCUAUGAUGGGGACUGCUAGAGAAUAUGAUCCCAAGGAGGAAAUAUUUUGUAAGAUCAAGUCUUGGAAAGAUGCUUAUUUUCCUCAGUUUUUGGAACUGGAUCGUAGAGUCGUUCUUCCAACACUAACAGAGAAGAGUGAUGUGCACGAGGGUUUGAAGGUGGACCUCCCCAAGUACGAAAAACUCAUACAUCAUUUCCUGGCUCUUCUCGAGAGGAAUAAAACUUGCCAUGCAAACAUGAAUACAGGAUAUCAGUUGCAGAACUGUGAUGAGCAGCGUACAACCGUCAAUCUUACUGGCAAUGCAUUCCCAAUCAGUGGUGGUACAAGUAGAGAGCAAAAGCAACCUGCUGAUCCAAGCAUUUUGCAGCCGAGGCAAACAACUAUGGCUAGAACAACAACACCUCAUCAACAGAGCAAUGGCAACUACUUGCCAGGAAUAGAAAGUCCUUUCUCUUCACCAGGAUCAUUGCAGUCUUGGUCUUCCAGUAUGCUCGAGGCCUUGAGGCCCUCACCACUUGCAAAUCCAGUGGUAGCACCAGCGUCAGCCUGUGCUCCAAUACCCAUGAUCUCAAUGGACGUUGACAGCAUAACUGCCUUCUUGAUGAAUGACAAUGCAACAGCACCACCACCAAAAGCAAAUGGUUCUAACCAAGUCACUCCUACUGAACCGAUAGCAACAGCCUCACCACUUCAGGCAGAUAUAGCAGCUGGUCAUGGAGAGGUUCAGGCGCGAGGUGGAGACGGAACACCGGUGACUAAGAGGCCCAUCGACCGGCUAAUGGAUGCGAUAAGAUCUUCAUUGCCUGGAGCUCUACGCAGCUCUGUUAAUUCAAUUAGGUCUUUACUCAGCAUGAGCGACAUUGAACCACAUGGGAAAAUCGGCACAAUGUUGGAUUGUAGAUCCUCCUUGCAGCAGCAGCAGCAGGGUGGAUCUAAUACUGUGAAUAAAAUGAAGCAAGUUUUCAAUCAUACGGAGUCGCAAUCUGAAUCACAGCCGCUGGGAAGCAUGGAUGGCAGUUGCAUGUCAUUUGAGUGUGGGGCCUUGGACUCUGGAUCAAACAGUGAGGUAAACUUUAAGAGGCAGGAAACACAGAAUGCUAGUAAUGAGGCUCUGUUGGAAGAAAUCAAAUCUAUCAACAACACACUGAUCGACACAGUGGUCAGCAUAUCUGAUAAUUGUGGUAUGGAUGGGAUCUCCCGCUGUGAUGGCGGGACAACAAUCAAACUGUCCUACAGCGCCGUGUCGCUUUCGCCGACCUUUAAAUCUUUCUUUGCCACAUCUGAAAUGUGUCUUGUCUUGCCUGUGAAGCUAUACGUCCCAGCAGAUUAUCCGGGCAGCUCUCCGGUGCUCAGAAAUGACGAAGGAGAUGAGGUGCCAAGCACCAUCUCUGCCUCGGCGGACGUGGCGUUCCGGCACGCCCUCGACGGUCUCCUGGAACCCCGGUCGAUCGAGGCCAUGGUCAGGGUAUGGGACGCCUCCGUGCGGAAGGCCGUGACGCGGUUUGCGGAGCGGCAAGGUGGAGGGACGGCCAGCUCGAUGUUUGGUGGGUGGAAGAGAUGUGCGGCCACAUGA
Molecule: ribosomal RNA, 2589 nt
Filed under: Triticum aestivum (bread wheat)
Lineage: Eukaryota; Viridiplantae; Streptophyta; Magnoliopsida; Poales; Poaceae
Description: partial small subunit ribosomal RNA
Source: RNAcentral